GGGGGAUAUUGCACAAUGGAGGAAACUCUGAUGCAGCAACGCCGCGUGAGGGAAGAAGGUCUUCGGAUUGUAAACCUUUGUCCUUGGUGACGAAACAAAUGACGGUAGCCAAGGAGGAAGCCACGGCUAACUACGUGCCAGCAGCCGCGGUAAUACGUAGGUGGCGAGCGUUGUCCGGAUUUACUGGGUGUAAAGGGUGCGUAGGCGGCUCUGCAAGUCAGGCGUGAAAACUAUGGGCUUAACCCAUAGACUGCGUUUGAAACUGUGGGGCUUGAGUGAAGUAGAGGUAGGCGGAAUUCCCGGUGUAGCGGUGAAAUGCGUAGAGAUCGGGAGGAACACCAGUGGCGAAGGCGGCCUACUGGGCUUUAACUGACGCUGAAGCACGAAAGCAUGGGUAGCAAAC
RNAcentral lists this ribosomal RNA (403 nucleotides) under uncultured bacterium. RNAcentral's name for it is "bacterial SSU rRNA". It matches the Rfam family "Bacterial small subunit ribosomal RNA", at positions 356 to 773 of the family's 1533-position model. The record is from RNAcentral.